RNAcentral lists this non-coding RNA (26 nucleotides) under Mus musculus (house mouse). The record is from RNAcentral. Lineage: Eukaryota; Metazoa; Chordata; Mammalia; Rodentia; Muridae.
UUGCCUACAUCAGAGCUUGGUGGCCA